UUGCUCAAAAACAUUACCUUAAAUCAAAACAUUAAAAACACGAGAGAAGCAAUUUUAUACGUUCUACACAAAAUAAAUAAGUUGAUAAAAAAAAAAAAACACUAAUCACAGUACACGAACAAACCUACAUGCAUCCAAAACUUCAGAAACAAAAAUUAAAAUUUAUCUACCAGGGUCAGAUCUGGUCAACGACCUUAACCUAACGAAAAACUUGACCUUUUUAUCCCAAUUGUUAUUACCCCCAUUUUGUUCCUUCCUCUUCUUUCCGCUCAAAGCAUCCCAAUUCUCCGGCGACCCCAUCAGCAGCACGCUCUCCGGCGACCUCACUCCAACCGUCGUGUCCUCGUUCUCCGCCUGGUCAGCUACGGCAGCAGCGGCCAGCAUCCGUCCCUGCAUGGCCGCCAGCACUUCCCUCAUCGCCACGUCAGCAUCUCCUCUGUUCCGCAGCAAAAUCUCUCCCACGUGUGCGGGCGUGAGAGACCCACCCGAGCGAAUGCAACCCUCAACCGCCUCGAACAGCACGUGGGAAUCUACGCCGAGGUAGUUUCGCGCGAGCUCGCGGAACGCGUGAACCCCACACGUGUUGAGGCUGACGUGGACGUCCAUGCGGCCACACCGCACGAGCGCGGGGUCCACACUAUCCCUAUGGUUUGUUGUGAACACCACAAUCCUCUCGUCACCGCAGCAAGACCAUAACCCGUCGGUGAAAUUCAAAAGCCCCGAAAGCGUCACGCGCCCACUCUCCUCGCAGCGCGUGAACGACGCCGUCUGAGACUUCUUUCUCUUCGACAAUUUCGCUGCCUGAGUUUUCUUCGUUGAUCUGUCUGCCGUUAAGUCAACGGAACAGUCGAUGUCUUCGAUAACGAUAAUAGAACGGUUCGUCGUUUGGAUUAGUAACGACCGUAACUCGGAGUUAUCAGAGACUUUGGUUAGCUCCAAGUCGUAAACGUCGUAACACAGAAAAUUUGCCAUAGCGGCUAUUAAACUUGAUUUACCCGACCCGGGUGGGCCAUGGAGUAAAUACCCACGUUUCCAGGCCCGGCCCACUCGAUUGUAAAACUCUUUGCCGUCAGCGAAAGCCGUUAAGUCGUUUUUUAUUUGUCUUUUCAGUUCGGGCUCGAGGGCGAGGGUCUCGAAGGUGGACGGGUGACGGAAGGGGACGGAGACCCAACCCGAUUCGAAGGAGCCCGACCCGGUGGUAUUGUUGGUGAAGAGUCUACGCUCUCGCGAGACGCGCUCGAACUCCUCGGCGCGUGCGGUGACGUGGGAUAUAUAGGCAGAGAGGAGCGAGUGGCGGUGGCGCUUCGGGAGGCGGAGUGUGAAGCUGCGCUUCUCCUCAAGUGAGUCCUGCGCGGUCUCAACGUGGUGCGUCCAUGUGACGCGUUGGCCGCGGAAGGCGUCGUGGACGGUGUGAUUCGGGGCGACGGCGAAGGAGAUGCGGUUCGAGGAAGGCGAGCGGGAGAGCGUUAGUCGGCGGCACGCGGCGCCGGGGGCGUGGUUUGCGGCAUUGAGGUAGAGGUGCACGUGGCGGUAGAGGUCGUUGAGGUCGACGCCGCAGUAGCCGUUGAACUCUGGAAUCUCGAAAUAGGAAUAUGGAGAAAGCAGAUCUUGCAGAGAUUCGUAUAAGGAAUGGAGCAAUGAGAGAAGCUGGGAUGGGAGAACGUUUUGGAGCACGGUUCAAGGUUGCAUUGAACUUUAGGUAUAUUCGUUAAAAUUCAAUCAAUUUUUACAAACAUCUUGGUCUUUAAGUUGGUCUUUAAGUUGCACCUGAUUCCCAUAAUUCUACAUGCACACGCGCCAGCUAGCUUUAGUAAAGGUCUUAAAGAGAUAAUUCUCAAGCAGCAAUGAAUCACGGCGGGCGCAUGCAGACACUCGGGGUUUGUUACGGAACAGUAUGGAGUGGAUCUCGUUGAGUUGAAGCUGCUUUUGUUUCUUUCUUGACAAAUCACACUUUAUCUUUUUCCUAUAGUUCUAGUUAUUUGUGCCUUCAGAGGUCAGAAUGUUCUGAUGAAUUAUUAUAACUCAUCAAUCAUUCAUGAUGAGUGUCAUGUUGGAGAUGAUUAUAAGGGGAUGAUGACUGUAUUGUAGUGAUGAUUGUCAUGUUUUAUUGCACCGUAACUGUUCAAAUUGAUCAAAUUGGUAGAACGAACCCACUGGAUAAAUUUAUAUUAACUAUAUCUUUUUGCAUGGACCCUUUAGAUAAUAUUUUAUUCAUAAUAUCCUCUUCAGGUUUUUCUUAUUUUUCACCUUUCUACUUAUAUGCUGUGUAGAACAUUAAAGGCCAUGACGUUGUUAGAUUUCAAUCCACAGUUGCACAAAUAUAAAAGUAUGUAAUUAGAUUGUUACUGAAAAUGUCGAUUUGUAACUUGGUUUGCUUAUUUGGUUGGGCAAUUCUAUGUAUAUGCUUUGAACUUUUCAUGACAUUAUUUUAGGCUUUUAUUGUUGAGGUGGUGACGGGGUCUAUGAGAUUGAUAUGUAUAGAUCUUUAAAGUAAUGCAGAUGGUGGUAUUCUUUCUUGUGCAUUACAUUUCUUUUAUAUCUUUUACAUGCUUAUAUGCUUUUGAAACAAAGUUUCAUUUAUGCUUCUUUACAGAAAUUUGUCUAAAUCUCCUUUACUAAAGCAACGCUAUUGGCACCAUCAGAUUAUGAUCCUGUGGUGUUUGGCUGUCGUUCUUAUCUAAUCUUUGUUGCCUCUUCAAUGGUUUUAGGUAUCUACUUAUAAAAUGGUUGAAAUUUUGAGAAAGGAAACAUGGAAAGAGAAAAUAAAAGGAGGAGGAAAAGAAAAAGAGGCAUGUGUAUGGUGGCAUUAAAAGCCACGAAUAUGGAGAUGGGCAAAAAUUUCAGUGUAGGUCAGCCUUGAGAGAAAGCCCUGCAUAAAUGGGGGUAUCAAGAAUAAAGUCACAAAGAGGUUCUCCCUGGAAUGUCAAUGAUCAAAUGGAUCAUAUUCCAUCAAUGCACGAGAGGCAUAGCAAUUUCAAUUCAUCAAGAUACUAGUUCAAACUGCUAAGUAGAGCAGUGUUAUGACUAUCAUUCUUACCAAAAAUACAAAAUCAAGUUUCUGGAUGAAUUUCUAUAUUGGUGUAAAAAUGAAUAGAUAAAUCAACUUGUAAAUCUCACCUUUUAUAGAAGUGAAGUUAAGAGGUCUUGUUUAGAAGUUAAAGACAACAGUUAAUUUUUACUUAAGUGAGAAGUUCAGAAACCGACUAUUGGGAUAUCAGAAUAAAGUGGAAAGUGCAGGGAAUGUCAAAUAAUGAAGUGGAUCAUAUUCCAUUUAUGUAUGACACUUCUUCUACAAGAAGGAUUCUUCCAGAAAAUGAUUCAGAACUGUGUAGAGACCAGUAGUGUUGUUUUGCCGUUAAUUAUGGAA
Molecule: small RNA, 3367 nt
Filed under: Vigna angularis var. angularis
Lineage: Eukaryota; Viridiplantae; Streptophyta; Magnoliopsida; Fabales; Fabaceae
Description: Non-protein coding transcript
Source: RNAcentral